ACGGGAGGCAGCAGUGAGGAAUAUUGGUCAAUGGGCGGAAGCCUGAACCAGCCAAGUCGCGUGAAGGAUGAAGGUAUUAUGUAUUGUAAACUUCUUUAGACGUAGAGAAAUAAGGUGCUCGUGAGCACUGAUGCUAGUAUACGUAGAAUAAGGAUCGGCUAACUCCGUGCCAGCAGCCGCGGUAAUACGGAGGGUCCGAGUGUUAUCCGGAUUUAUUGGGUUUAAAGGGUGCGUAGGCGGGGGAUCAAGUCAGUGGUGAAAUGGUGCGGCUCAACCGUAGCAUUGCCGUUGAAACUGGUUUUCUUGAGUGCGAAUGAGGUGGGCGGAAUGUGUCAUGUAACGGUGAAAUGCAUAGAUAUGACACAGAACACCGAUUGCGAAGGCAGCUCACUGGGACGCAACUGACGCUGAGGCACGAAAGUGCGGGGAUCGAACAGGAUUAGAUACCCUGGUA
RNAcentral lists this ribosomal RNA (454 nucleotides) under uncultured Paludibacter sp. Its description in RNAcentral is "partial 16S ribosomal RNA". It matches the Rfam family "Bacterial small subunit ribosomal RNA", at positions 341 to 792 of the family's 1533-position model. The record is from RNAcentral. Lineage: Bacteria; Pseudomonadati; Bacteroidota; Bacteroidia; Bacteroidales; Paludibacteraceae.